Molecule: ribosomal RNA, 207 nt
Filed under: uncultured bacterium
Lineage: Bacteria
Description: partial 16S ribosomal RNA
Rfam family: Bacterial small subunit ribosomal RNA
Source: RNAcentral
CGCGUAGGCGGCGACUUAAGUAGGAUGUGAAAUCUCCCGGCUCAACCGGGGAACUGCGUUCUAAACUGGGUUGCUUGAGUGAGAUAGAGGUGUGCGGAACUUCCGGUGGAGCGGUGAAAUGUGUUGAUAUCGGAGGGAACACCGUUGGCGAAAGCGGCACACUGGGUCUUAACUGACGCUGAGGCACGAAAGCCAGGGGAGCAAACG